Long non-coding RNA from Oncorhynchus masou masou (cherry salmon), 1375 nucleotides. RefSeq lists it as uncharacterized. The record is from RefSeq and is a predicted model, not a curated record. NCBI's taxonomy places the organism in Eukaryota, Metazoa, Chordata, Actinopteri, Salmoniformes, Salmonidae. The transcript is spliced from 3 exons.
CAAUAGCAUACCAGCUAUCAUUUUAUCAUAUCACUCAGCACUUGAUCAAUGACAUACAGUACUGUUUGUUUCUAAUCAUUAUGAGUCAAGUAAAAAAAAAAAAGCGAUUCUCCCCGUAAAAUAUGUUGUUUUACUUAAAUAGUCAACAGAGCAUUCAUUUCUGAUACUUAGCCAGUUUAGGUGGAAUUGAACACAUAAAUCAGUGAUCAGGCCUGGGUCCUAAAUAACUUUUUUUCUCACACGGUCUGCAGCUAAACCCACUACAAUGACACACAAAAUGAUGUAUCACUUUGUCAAAUAUUGGCAUUAAUAGAUUGAUGCCUCAUUACAGAAUACUUGUUCCAGAGGAUUCAGAGGAAGAAUUUGAGCAAAAAAAUAAGUUUCCCAACACUACAAACUUCAUAUACUUUUUGGAGGACAGAAGGGGGAGGAGAAAGGUUGAAUCAAGCUGCUUUUGUCACUCUGUCCUUGUCAAAUAAGCCAGAAUAUCAUACUGUAUUUGCUUAGUUAAAUCCACUGGCUAUUUUUACAUAGCUUUUACAUGAAUCUCGACACCCAGAACCAAAUCAGCUACUCAAUGUUAAGGCUGUAACGAGAUACUUCUUUUCCAUAACAGUUUGCAUUAAAUCUAUUUUUUCUAUCACAAAAUCUUGUUUCUUAUACAUCUCCAUAAAAGGUUUUCUUAAACAGACAAACACCUUCUUGACCCUUUACAUCUUUUCAGUGGCAAUGUGGCUCCCAACAGCGGUGGUACUGUUUCUGGGUGCAGCACCUGACCUCUUCUUCAGCCAGCAGUCCUUGGAUGAGUCCUUCGACUUCUCGGGUGUCACUGAACCAUCUCACUGCUCAAAGGGAUUCGUGGUUGACAAAUACUUUUUCUGGAAUGACAUUCUGAAGGUGUAUGAACGGGACCUACAUCAUUGCCAGCUUGCCUGCACUAACCCUAACCCUACUUCAGCUACGUGGUUAAAGAGUAUAACCUAUUUGAGUAUCUGGGUUGUCUGUUUGAGUGGAGUUCACACUACUUCUUUUGGUAAUUAGUUGAAGGAUGGGGUUAGAGAAAUGUCACCCCUCUCAAAUGCAGAGCUAAGGAUUCAUGCACUGACUAUGCAUGAGAUCAAAAUGAUAUGCAGUAUUUGUUAACAAUUACAUUGAUUACAUUUAUUUUAAUGUUAAACAGAAAUGACAUAGGAAGUGCAUCUGUCAUGACUUCCGCCGAAGUCGGUCCCUCUUCUUGUUUGGGCGGCGUUCGGCGGUCGACGUCACCGACCUUCUAGCCAUCGCCGACCCACUUUUCAUUUUCCAUUUGUUUUGUCUUUGGUUUACACACCUGGGUUCAAUUCCACAAUUACAUGUUAAUUAUUUAACCCUAUGU